This 434-nucleotide ribosomal RNA is filed under the name uncultured Pseudobutyrivibrio sp. Its description in RNAcentral is "partial 16S ribosomal RNA". It matches the Rfam family "Bacterial small subunit ribosomal RNA", at positions 341 to 792 of the family's 1533-position model. The record is from RNAcentral. Lineage: Bacteria; Bacillati; Bacillota; Clostridia; Lachnospirales; Lachnospiraceae.
ACGGGAGGCAGCAGUGGGGAAUAUUGCACAAUGGGCGCAAGCCUGAUGCAGCGACGCCGCGUGAGCGAAGAAGUAUUUCGGUAUGUAAAGCUCUAUCAGCAGGGAAGAUAAUGACGGUACCUGACUAGGAAGCACCGGCUAAAUACGUGCCAGCAGCCGCGGUAAUACGUAUGGUGCAAGCGUUAUCCGGAUUUACUGGGUGUAAAGGGAGCGUAGGCGGUCAUGCAAGUCUGAUGUGAAAACCCGGGGCUCAACUUCGGGAUUGCAUUGGAAACUGUAAGACUAGAGUGUCGGAGGGGUAAGUGGAAUUCCUAGUGUAGCGGUGAAAUGCGUAGAUAUUAGGAGGAACACCAGUGGCGAAGGCGGCUUACUGGACGAUUACUGACGCUGAGGCUCGAAAGCGUGGGGAGCAAACAGGAUUAGAUACCCUGGUA